RNAcentral lists this ribosomal RNA (608 nucleotides) under Fusarium pseudocircinatum. Its description in RNAcentral is "partial large subunit ribosomal RNA". It matches the Rfam family "Eukaryotic large subunit ribosomal RNA", at positions 37 to 669 of the family's 3401-position model. The record is from RNAcentral. Lineage: Eukaryota; Fungi; Ascomycota; Sordariomycetes; Hypocreales; Nectriaceae.
UGCAUAUCAAUAAGCGGAGGAAAAGAAACCAACAGGGAUUGCCCUAGUAACGGCGAGUGAAGCGGCAACAGCUCAAAUUUGAAAUCUGGCUCUCGGGCCCGAGUUGUAAUUUGUAGAGGAUACUUUUGAUGCGGUGCCUUCCGAGUUCCCUGGAACGGGACGCCAUAGAGGGUGAGAGCCCCGUCUGGUUGGAUGCCAAAUCUCUGUAAAGUUCCUUCGACGAGUCGAGUAGUUUGGGAAUGCUGCUCUAAAUGGGAGGUAUAUGUCUUCUAAAGCUAAAUACCGGCCAGAGACCGAUAGCGCACAAGUAGAGUGAUCGAAAGAUGAAAAGCACUUUGAAAAGAGAGUUAAAAAGUACGUGAAAUUGUUGAAAGGGAAGCGUUUAUGACCAGACUUGGGCUUGGUUGAUCAUCUGGGGUUCUCCCCAGUGCACUCUUCCAGUCCAGGCCAGCAUCAGUUUUCGCCGGGGGAUAAAGACUUCGGGAAUGUGGCUCUCUUCGGGGAGUGUUAUAGCCCGUUGUGUAAUACCCUGGCGGGGACUGAGGUUCGCGCAUCUGCAAGGAUGCUGGCGUAAUGGUCAUCAACGACCCGUCUUGAACACGGACCAG